RNAcentral lists this ribosomal RNA (472 nucleotides) under Acinetobacter sp. oral taxon C51. Its description in RNAcentral is "bacterial SSU rRNA". It matches the Rfam family "Bacterial small subunit ribosomal RNA", at positions 30 to 494 of the family's 1533-position model. The record is from RNAcentral. Lineage: Bacteria; Pseudomonadati; Pseudomonadota; Gammaproteobacteria; Moraxellales; Moraxellaceae.
AUUGAACGCUGGCGGCAGGCUUAACACAUGCAAGUCGAGCGGAGCGAGGGUGCUUGCACCUUAGCUUAGCGGCGGACGGGUGAGUAAUGCUUAGGAAUCUGCCUAUUAGUGGGGGACAACAUUCCGAAAGGGAUGCUAAUACCGCAUACGCCCUACGGGGGAAAGCAGGGGAUCUUCGGACCUUGCGCUAAUAGAUGAGCCUAAGUCGGAUUAGCUAGUUGGUGGGGUAAAGGCCUACCAAGGCGACGAUCUGUAGCGGGUCUGAGAGGAUGAUCCGCCACACUGGGACUGAGACACGGCCCAGACUCCUACGGGAGGCAGCAGUGGGGAAUAUUGGACAAUGGGGGGAACCCUGAUCCAGCCAUGCCGCGUGUGUGAAGAAGGCCUUUUGGUUGUAAAGCACUUUAAGCGAGGAGGAGGCGCUCUAGGUUAAUACCCUAGAUGCGAGGACGUACUUCGCAGAAUAAGCCCC